RNAcentral lists this ribosomal RNA (387 nucleotides) under uncultured prokaryote. RNAcentral's name for it is "partial 16S ribosomal RNA". The record is from RNAcentral.
UGGGGAUUGAGAAAGAGUAGAAAUGCCACAAGCCUCAAUAGCAGGUUUAAGAGCCUCGAUACGCUCAAAGUCAAAAUAAUCAGCGUGACAUUCAGAAGGGUAAUAAGAACGAACCAUAAAAAAGCCUCCAAGAUUUGGAGGCAUGAAAACAUACAAUUGGGAGGGUGUCAAUCCUGACGGUUAUUUCCUAGACAAAUUAGAGCCAAUACCAUCAGCUUUACCGUCUUUCCAGAAAUUGUUCCAAGUAUCGGCAACAGCUUUAUCAAUACCAUGAAAAAUAUCAACCACACCAGAAGCAGCAUCAGUGACGACAUUAGAAAUAUCCUUUGCAGUAGCGCCAAUAUGAGAAGAGCCAUACCGCUGAUUCUGCGUUUGCUGAUGAACUAA